RNAcentral lists this ribosomal RNA (253 nucleotides) under uncultured bacterium. RNAcentral's name for it is "partial 16S ribosomal RNA". It matches the Rfam family "Bacterial small subunit ribosomal RNA", at positions 524 to 776 of the family's 1533-position model. The record is from RNAcentral.
UACGGAGGGUGCAAACGUUGCUCGGAAUUAUUGGGCGUAAAGAGCUCGUAGGCGGUUUGUUGCGUCGGCUGUGAAAUCCCGAGGCUCAACCUCGGGUCUGCAGUCGAUACGAGCAAACUAGAGUGUUGCAGGGGAGACUGGAAUUCCUGGUGUAGCGGUGGAAUGCGCAGAUAUCAGGAAGAACACCCGUGGCGAAGGCGGCUCUCUGGAACGCAACUGACGCUGAGACGCGAAAGCGUGGGGAGCGAACGGG